GACGAACGCUGGCGGCGUGCUUAACACAUGCAAGUCGAGCGGAAAGGCUCCAGCUUGCUGGAGUACUCGAGUGGCGAACGGGUGAGUAACACGUGGGUAAUCUGCCCUGCACUCUGGGAUAAGCCUGGGAAACUGGGUCUAAUACUGGAUAUGACCUUUCUCCUUAUGGGGUUUGGUGGAAAGUUUUUCGGUGUAGGAUGAGCCCGCGGCCUAUCAGCUUGUUGGUGGGGUGAUGGCCUACCAAGGCGACGACGGGUAGCCGGCCUGAGAGGGUGAUCGGCCACAUUGGGACUGAGAUACGGCCCAGACUCCUACGGGAGGCAGCAGUGGGGAAUAUUGCACAAUGGGCGGAAGCCUGAUGCAGCGACGCCGCGUGAGGGAUGACGGCCUUCGGGUUGUAAACCUCUUUCAGCAGGGACGAAGCGUAAGUGACGGUACCUGCAGAAGAAGCACCGGCUAACUAUGUG
This 467-nucleotide ribosomal RNA is filed under the name uncultured bacterium. RNAcentral's name for it is "partial 16S ribosomal RNA". It matches the Rfam family "Bacterial small subunit ribosomal RNA", at positions 28 to 507 of the family's 1533-position model. The record is from RNAcentral.